UAGUUAAUGAACUUGUUAUAAGUAUAUAUUUUGAAAAUAUAAAAAAGAGA
RNAcentral lists this transfer RNA (50 nucleotides) under Caryopemon giganteus. RNAcentral's name for it is "tRNA-Ser". Lineage: Eukaryota; Metazoa; Arthropoda; Insecta; Coleoptera; Chrysomelidae. The record is from RNAcentral.